GAUGAACGCUGGCGGCGUGCCUAAUACAUGCAAGUCGAGCGGUAAGGUUCUCACAGUUUGCUGGCAUUCUUUUUUAAUAAGAUCGAGCAAAGUGUGAGAAUACACGAGCGGCGGACGGCUGAGUAACGCGUAGGAACGUACCCAAAGUGAGGGAUAAGCACCGGAAACGGUGUCUAAUACCGCAUAUGAUCUUCGGAUUAAAGACAUUUUGUCGUCGUUUGGGAGCGGCCUGCGUAUGAUUAGUCAGUUGGUGAGGUAAUGGCUCACCAAGACGACGAUCAUUAGCUGGUCUGAGAGGACGACCAGUCACACUGGAACUGAGACACGGUCCAGACACCUACGGGUGGCAGCAGUCGAAGU
Molecule: ribosomal RNA, 360 nt
Filed under: uncultured bacterium
Lineage: Bacteria
Description: bacterial SSU rRNA
Rfam family: Bacterial small subunit ribosomal RNA
Source: RNAcentral